Molecule: long non-coding RNA, 1493 nt
Organism: Carcharodon carcharias (great white shark)
Lineage: Eukaryota; Metazoa; Chordata; Chondrichthyes; Lamniformes; Lamnidae
Exons: 3
Source: RefSeq, a predicted model, not a curated record
UUGCAACAUGUUUAUCAUUGGCCUGGCUAAAAUCAGCUGAACCUGAAAAUGUCAUUAGACUUCGCUUCUUCAGAGAUGCUGCAGAAAACGCCCAAGGAACAAAAAAUGCCCUUGACAUUUUUAAUAGAUAUAAUUGUAAGUUAAUCCCAAAGUGGGGCCCUGAUAUACAGGUGACACCAGGUCUUGGUAGCUUUGAAGUGAGAUGGAUCAGACUGGGAAUUCAGUGGCGUGAAAACCGUAUGACCUGCUGUUUAGUUAUAAUAAAAACUGUUGCUUCAAUACACCAAUCACCUGCAGUCUGUUGCAGAAUUUUUUUUUAGCCUGAUAACCCCCGCACAUUGAUUAACAAAACUGCUGUGUUGACAGAAUACAUUACUACUGUGUUGCUGCUACACAGACUCCCAAUGGUUUUCAAAAUUGCUCUUAAAUAUGAGUAUUUUACUGCAUUCCCCUCAAAUUGUAGGAAAGCACAUCGGCUGACUACUUGUUUCUGUACAGCCAAACAAGUGAUACCAAUGUGAAAUGGGAGCUUGAGCCAUGUUGGUGGGAAAAAAAAGUCGUCCAUCUUGACUAACAUGAGGAUGUUUGUAUUGAAACCCAGCUUUAUGAAACCCAAUGAAGCGCAAUAUCUAACUUACGUCGGGAAAAACAUCCAUCACCCAGCGACCCAUUGGUUGUUCCUAACUGCACAGGAGCUGUAGAGAAAAUUAUUUUACAGUGGGCAAGUCAAAAACUUGAUGCAAAGCUGAUACCAGUACUUGGCAGUCAGUCUUUCACAAAUUGGAUAAUUAUCUUAGAAUGGUCCAGGCAAAGUUGCAAAAUUGAGUGCGGCAGCGCUACCUUCUAUAGCUGUCAUUUUAAUAAGGUCACGCCAAUGCUGUACAGCAAAAAUUCUUGGGCAAUAUCACCGUCCCAACAUAGCUUGUGAUCAAGUCCCCAAAUACAGCAGGGGAACUGGCACACUGCAGUUUAGAGAUCAGAUCCUGAAGUGGCUGGGUUAUGGCUCUGCCUUGCAUUGCUCUUCUUUGUCAUUUCCAAUCAUCAUGAUCCUCUACAUCAUGCAUUUCAAGUGAAGCAGUAAUGGAAGUGGAUAACAACUCUUCUCCAUCACGUAGAACAUUGAGCAAAACCAUGGCAGCUCAAAAAGCUACUAAUCCCAAUUCUCAAAUAGAGAUGUGUGUCAUUUUUCAAACCACAGUCUGCAAAGAUAACUUCUGAUGGCUCAAUAAAAUUACUACUGCAGGACUGGACACAUUGCAUUUCCAUUUCUUUAAGUGCUUGCUACCGCAUAAGUGCAGGUCAAGUGUUUCUGUCAUGUAUAUGCUGCUUGUUCACUUUAUAACUGAAGAUGUUAUGAUGACAUAUCUCCCUCUCAGCCUGGUUUUCCUGCCACCUCAAACAUCUAUCAACUAUCUUAUCCAGGAACAACUGGAUUCAUAAAGUAUGGUUAAUCCCUGUAUGCAGAUUGUUCCCUUCACAUACGUUCAUCCAUU